AAAAAAACGAAAACUAUUGAAAUCACCAAUAACAAUUUAAUUGUUAGAAUUUAAAUGCCUAAGCACUCUGUUGGUUCCCACGAGUGCAUAAAUGAUUGACACAAGUAAAUUUUAUACAUACAGGAACUAUUUAAGAAGCUGCUUUAAAUUCCCAAGAGCAGAAAAUCGCGCACUAGCUUUACAAGGAGAUGUUCUUAACUAAAUUUUAAUACAUGCACCUUGUCAAUAUUUUACGCAUCAUUACGUUCAGCUUUU
Non-coding RNA from Paramuricea clavata, 255 nucleotides. Lineage: Eukaryota; Metazoa; Cnidaria; Anthozoa; Malacalcyonacea; Plexauridae. The record is from the annotation of a GenBank genome assembly.